AUACAAAUCUCCUGGGGAGCUUUUUAAAAUUCAGAUUCUAAUUUAGCAGUUCUGAGAUUCCAACAGCCUUCCAGGUGAUGUCGUU
RNAcentral lists this microRNA precursor (85 nucleotides) under Marmota monax (woodchuck). Lineage: Eukaryota; Metazoa; Chordata; Mammalia; Rodentia; Sciuridae. The record is from RNAcentral.